RNAcentral lists this transfer RNA (75 nucleotides) under Sphaerodactylus townsendi. Its description in RNAcentral is "tRNA-Asn". Lineage: Eukaryota; Metazoa; Chordata; Lepidosauria; Squamata; Sphaerodactylidae. The record is from RNAcentral.
UUCUUCGAUAGCAAAGUGGUUUGAGUAUUUGCCUGUUGAGCUAAAGGGUUGCUGGUUCAAUUCCAGCCAGGGAAA